AAUCAACGCUGGCGGCGUGCCUAACACAUGCAAGUCGAACGCGAAAGUGGCUUCGGCCAUAAGUAGAGUGGGCAAACGGGUGAGUAACACGUGGGUGACCUACCUUUGAGUGGGGGGAUAACGCUUCGAAAGGGGCGCUAAUACCGCAUGACAUCCUGCCUUUUAAUGGGUGGCGAUCAAAGCCGGGGAUCGUAAGACCUGGCGCUCGAAGAGGGGCCCGCGGCCGAUUAGCUAGUUGGUGAGGUAAUGGCUCACCAAGGCAACGAUCGGUAGCCGGCCUGAGAGGGCGGACGGCCACACUGGGACUGAGACACGGCCCAGACUCCUACGGGAGGCAGCAGUGGGGAAUUGUUCGCAAUGGGCGAAAGCCUGACGACGCAACGCCGCGUGGAGGAUGAAGGCCCUCGGGUCGUAAACUCCUUUCGAUCGAGAAGAAUUUCCUCGGGACGAAUACUCCCGGGGGGUGACGGUACCGAGAGAAGAAGCCCCGGCUAACUCCGUG
RNAcentral lists this ribosomal RNA (502 nucleotides) under uncultured bacterium. Its description in RNAcentral is "bacterial SSU rRNA". It matches the Rfam family "Bacterial small subunit ribosomal RNA", at positions 29 to 507 of the family's 1533-position model. The record is from RNAcentral.